RNAcentral lists this unclassified non-coding RNA (279 nucleotides) under Hevea brasiliensis (rubber tree). Lineage: Eukaryota; Viridiplantae; Streptophyta; Magnoliopsida; Malpighiales; Euphorbiaceae. The record is from RNAcentral.
AGUUUGGACAUGUGGGACUGAAGUGUCUGGACAUGACUCUCGAAUUCAAUAGCUCAACAAGGGGUGCAGAUUUCAGGCAUCGGGGUGUCUUGUAUUGGUCAGGGGAAGCACCUAAGCUAACAAAGUAAUCCAUGAGCUUGUCAAAAGUCCCAAUUUCCACUAUCCUGAUCUCCAGAGGCCCAAUGGAUUUGUCAGAGGCACGGCCCUGGCGGUAGACACUAUUUAGAGAUUCUUCAAUGGUGAGGCAACAAUCUUCAAAGACUGAAGGAGGAAUAUGUG